RNAcentral lists this ribosomal RNA (253 nucleotides) under uncultured bacterium. Its description in RNAcentral is "partial 16S ribosomal RNA". It matches the Rfam family "Bacterial small subunit ribosomal RNA", at positions 524 to 776 of the family's 1533-position model. The record is from RNAcentral.
GACAGAGGAUGCAAGCGUUAUCCGGAAUGAUUGGGCGUAAAGCGUCUGUAAGUGGCUUUUUAAGUCUGCCGUCAAAUCCCAGGGCUUAACCCUGGACAGGCGGUGGAAACUACCAAGCUGGAGUACGGUAGGGGCAGAGGGAAUUUCCGGUGGAGCGGUGAAAUGCGUAGAGAUCGGAAAGAACACCAACGGCGAAGGCACUCUGCUGGGCCGACACUGACACUGAGAGACGAAAGCUAGGGGAGCAAAUGGG